RNAcentral lists this unclassified non-coding RNA (166 nucleotides) under uncultured Ascomycota. RNAcentral describes it as "sequence contains ITS1". The record is from RNAcentral. Lineage: Eukaryota; Fungi; Ascomycota.
CUUUCAGUACUUUGGGGGCUGUCAGUCUAUAUCACUAUAGCAAGCCUCCGUCUGAAACCCUUGUCUUUUGCGUACCUUAUGUUUCCUCGGCGGGCUUGCCCGCCGGCUGGACAACCAUUAAAACCUUUUUAAUUUUCAAUCAGCGUCUGAAAAAACAUAAUAAUUA